AACGCACAUUGCGCCCUUUGGUAUUCCUUAGGGCAUGCCUGUUCGAGCGUCAUUUCAAAAUUCAAGCUCAGCUUGGUGAUGGGCGUCUGUCCCGCCUCCGUGCGCGGACUCGCCUCAAAAGCAGUUGGCAGCUCCCUUUUCGGCUCUAAACGCAGCAGAUUUGCGUGAUGCGGCGAGAGGAAGGGCUUACCAGUAAGCAGAACCACCCCAGAUUGACCUCGGAUCAGGUAGGGAUACCCGCUGAACUUAA
This 250-nucleotide unclassified non-coding RNA is filed under the name uncultured fungus. RNAcentral's name for it is "partial contains 5.8S ribosomal RNA, internal transcribed spacer 2, and large subunit ribosomal RNA". The record is from RNAcentral. Lineage: Eukaryota; Fungi.